This 293-nucleotide RNase P RNA is filed under the name Methanobacteriota archaeon. Its description in RNAcentral is "Euryarchaeota archaeon (chicken gut metagenome) RNase P RNA component". It matches the Rfam family "Archaeal RNase P". Rfam says of the family: Ribonuclease P (RNase P) is a ubiquitous endoribonuclease, found in archaea, bacteria and eukarya as well as chloroplasts and mitochondria. The record is from RNAcentral. Lineage: Archaea; Methanobacteriati; Methanobacteriota. RNAcentral also lists the same sequence under 1 other name.
GAGAGAUGGAGGGUGACCGACGGUAGCCAUAGGGCAGCUGAGGAAGUUCCCCUCUCCAAGGGCAAGAUGGACGGACGCAAGUCCGUGCGGCGAGAGCCGUGGCAAGGGCACAGAAACGACACGGACCGGGCUCAAGGAUGAUCCGCUAGGCGGUGACGUUCCCCGGGAUUCGGUGAAACGGCGACUCCCCAUCGGAGCAAGUCCGCACAGCGGGGCAGACCGGCCCGGGACCCGCGGGUAGGACGCUUAGUUGAAUGUCACCUGAAACAGAAAGGGGGCUACUACCAUCACUC